GUGAACGCUGGCGGUAGGCCUAACACAUGCCAGUCGAACGGCAGCACAGUAAGAGCUUGCUCUUACGGGUGGCGAGUGGCGGACGGGUGAGGAAUACAUCGGAAUCUACUUUUUCGUGGGGGAUAACGUAGGGAAACUUACGCUAAUACCGCAUACGACCUACGGGUGAAAGCAGGGGAUCUUCGGACCUUGCGCGAUUGAAUGAGCCGAUGUCGGAUUAGCUAGUUGGCGGGGUAAAGGCCCACCAAGGCGACGAUCCGUAGCUGGUCUGAGAGGAUGAUCAGCCACACUGGAACUGAGACACGGUCCAGACUCCUACGGGAGGCAGCAGUGGGGAAUAUUGGACAAUGGGCGCAAGCCUGAUCCAGCCAUACCGCGUGGGUGAAGAAGGCCUUCGGGUUGUAAAGCCCUCUUGUUGGGAAAGAAAAGCAGCAGGUUAAUACCCCGCUGUUCUGACGGUACCCAAAGAAUAAGCACCGGCUAACUUCGUG
RNAcentral lists this ribosomal RNA (491 nucleotides) under uncultured bacterium. RNAcentral describes it as "partial 16S ribosomal RNA". It matches the Rfam family "Bacterial small subunit ribosomal RNA", at positions 29 to 507 of the family's 1533-position model. The record is from RNAcentral.